UACCAGCACCCCGAGUGGUCGGGACGUUUUAUUGGGCCUAAAGCGUCCGUAGCCGGUUCUACAAGUCUUCCGUUAAAUCCAACUGCUUAACAGGUGGGCUGCGGAAGAUACUAUAGAGCUAGGAGGCGGGAGAGGCAAGCGGUACUCGAUGGGUAGGGGUAAAAUCCGUUGAUCCAUUGAAGACCACCAGUGGCGAAGGCGGCUUGCCAGAACGCGCUCGACGGUGAGGGAUGAAAGCUGGGGGAGCAAACCGG
Molecule: ribosomal RNA, 254 nt
Filed under: uncultured bacterium
Lineage: Bacteria
Description: partial 16S ribosomal RNA
Rfam family: Archaeal small subunit ribosomal RNA
Source: RNAcentral